UUAACAGCUCCUAAUUGGCAUAUCGACGAAGAAUUAGAAUCAAAUUGAAAGAAAUUUUUCGAAUUAUUGACUUUCUCGAAAUGCAUAUUUUCAGAAACUUGUUGCUCGUAGCGGUCUUUAUUUUGUGCUGUGUGUGUGAUACCUUAGCACAAAGUAACACAACGAUUCCUGGCUUCUCCCCUGUUCCGGCCCCAUCAUGGUUCAAUCCAGCAACUUUUAACUCGAGCUGGUUGAACUUCGGACGAUAAGUUUGCAGAGUUUCCAGACGUCACCAAUUUGAACUGAUGGGGUUUUGAAUUUCCUUUUUUAAAUGUAAUAAAUUCUAUAUUUAUCUUGAUUUGUUAAUUAAAUUACUUGAUUUGUA
Molecule: long non-coding RNA, 364 nt
Organism: Folsomia candida
Lineage: Eukaryota; Metazoa; Arthropoda; Collembola; Entomobryomorpha; Isotomidae
Exons: 2
Source: RefSeq, a predicted model, not a curated record